AUAUAAAUAUGCGGAGGAAAAGAAACCAAAUGGGAUCCCUAAGUAAUGGCGAAUGAAAUGGGGAAAGCUCAUUGCAAAGGCCUAUCAAGUAUAUAACUUGAUAUGCAGUGCUGCAUUCAUACAGUGUGAUAAAUGUUGCAUAAAGCACAGCUACAUAUUCCUUUGAAUGGGGUCUAUUACCCAUAGACGGUGCUAGGCCGUUAGUCGCUUGUGUAAUUAUGCACAAUCUCCUGUAUAUUAGAGUCAGGUUGCUUGAGAGUGCAACCUAAAUUUGCAGGUAAACUCCUGCAAAAGCUAAAUAAUCUGAUGAUACCGAUAGUAAACAAGUACCGUGAGGGAAAGUUGCAAAGAACUUUGAAGAGAGAGUUCAAAAGGACGUGAAACCACUUGCAAGUAAACAGAUGGAACCACGAAGUGUAGCUGAGAGGAGAAUUCAUUUUUACUUGGGGUACAGUUAUAGUGAGAGUAGUUUGUAUACUUUCUUUCUAUUUAGUUAGUUAAGUAAAGCAUAAGCUCUUCUAUAAUUAUCGAUAAAUGUUCCUCUUAUAGUAAAUGCAUUUUCACUCUUCUCAUGCUCGAGCCUUGUACAAUAGGGUGUUCAGUAUAUAAAGGAAAAUAUAACAUAGCAAUUUACAUUCUAUGUGUUCAGUAGUGUAGGGUGCAUUUAUUCUAGUAGACCUGUCUAUCUAGUUAUAAAUGUAUACUAUGCUUUGCUGUGUAGUAUAUUGUUUUCGUAACAAUGUACUAUAAGAAAUAUUUUCCCCCCUAUUGUUAAUGAAAGUUUCUCUAAGGAGAAUGUUUGCGAAUAUAAUUGCUUAAGGGUAGGAUAUCUGUAUGUCAUAUUUGUCUAUCAAUAGUAAAUUGGGAUAAUUGUAUUCAUCUAUCGAAUGAGAAUUCCUGAUUGAUAGAUUGACUGGAUAUGCAUUGGAUAAUUCUAUUGUAUGUAUGUUUACUUGUUUUUUUGAAACAAGUAAACAUUUACAUUCUACCUGUAUAUAAUGCAUCAUAUGUAUGUUAUAAUUAUCUACCAAUAUUAGUAUUGGUAAUUGGAGCGAUUCAAUUUACUGUCUAAUAGUGUGUAGCGUAAUUAGCAUAUGUUGCAUGAAAUCUAAGGCCAGUAGAUCGGUAAUCCAUCUGACCCGUCUUGA
Molecule: ribosomal RNA, 1148 nt
Filed under: Aulonastus similis
Lineage: Eukaryota; Metazoa; Arthropoda; Arachnida; Trombidiformes; Syringophilidae
Description: eukaryotic LSU rRNA
Rfam family: Eukaryotic large subunit ribosomal RNA
Source: RNAcentral